GUCAGCCGCUGCAGAAAUUUUGUAAUCUCUUCAUGCCUAUUUGUUAUUUUUGUGAAAAACUCGAAAAAGCUCAAGCAAAUCAUAUUGUUUUCAAUGUGUAUUGUAAAAUAAGGCAUAAUUCAAAGUCAAUCUUUGAUUUUAAAGCGCGUCGUUGAGUUGACACUGCUUUAUCGGGGUUUUCGGGUGUAUUUCAUACAUUGAUGCAGAGGAAUAGUGAAAAAGUUAUGACCAUGUAAAGAAAACUGAAAAAGAUUUCAUCAAGCAAGUUUGAGUAAUUGAAAUGCUGAAAGA
This is a long non-coding RNA of Ostrinia nubilalis (European corn borer), 291 nucleotides long. RefSeq lists it as uncharacterized. The transcript is spliced from 2 exons. The record is from RefSeq and is a predicted model, not a curated record. Lineage: Eukaryota; Metazoa; Arthropoda; Insecta; Lepidoptera; Crambidae.